RNAcentral lists this ribosomal RNA (1078 nucleotides) under Micrococcus sp. 98TH11318. RNAcentral describes it as "bacterial SSU rRNA". It matches the Rfam family "Bacterial small subunit ribosomal RNA", at positions 8 to 1094 of the family's 1533-position model. The record is from RNAcentral. Lineage: Bacteria; Bacillati; Actinomycetota; Actinomycetes; Micrococcales; Micrococcaceae.
AGAGUUUGAUCGUGGCUCAGGAUGAACGCUGGCGGCGUGCUUAACACAUGCAAGUCGAACGAUGAAGCCCAGCUUGCUGGGUGGAUUAGUGGCGAACGGGUGAGUAACACGUGAGUAACCUGCCCUUAACUCUGGGAUAAGCCUGGGAAACUGGGUCUAAUACCGGAUAGGAGCGCCCACCGCAUGGUGGGUGUUGGAAAGAUUUAUCGGUUUUGGAUGGACUCGCGGCCUAUCAGCUUGUUGGUGAGGUAAUGGCUCACCAAGGCGACGACGGGUAGCCGGCCUGAGAGGGUGACCGGCCACACUGGGACUGAGACACGGCCCAGACUCCUACGGGAGGCAGCAGUGGGGAAUAUUGCACAAUGGGCGCAAGCCUGAUGCAGCGACGCCGCGUGAGGGAUGACGGCCUUCGGGUUGUAAACCUCUUUCAGUAGGGAAGAAGCGAAAGUGACGGUACCUGCAGAAGAAGCACCGGCUAACUACGUGCCAGCAGCCGCGGUAAUACGUAGGGUGCGAGCGUUAUCCGGAAUUAUUGGGCGUAAAGAGCUCGUAGGCGGUUUGUCGCGUCUGUCGUGAAAGUCCGGGGCUUAACCCCGGAUCUGCGGUGGGUACGGGCAGACUAGAGUGCAGUAGGGGAGACUGGAAUUCCUGGUGUAGCGGUGGAAUGCGCAGAUAUCAGGAGGAACACCGAUGGCGAAGGCAGGUCUCUGGGCUGUAACUGACGCUGAGGAGCGAAAGCAUGGGGAGCGAACAGGAUUAGAUACCCUGGUAGUCCAUGCCGUAAACGUUGGGCACUAGGUGUGGGGACCAUUCCACGGUUUCCGCGCCGCAGCUAACGCAUUAAGUGCCCCGCCUGGGGAGUACGGCCGCAAGGCUAAAACUCAAAGGAAUUGACGGGGGCCCGCACAAGCGGCGGAGCAUGCGGAUUAAUUCGAUGCAACGCGAAGAACCUUACCAAGGCUUGACAUGUUCUCGAUCGCCGUAGAGAUACGGUUUCCCCUUUUGGGGGCGGGUUCACAGGUGGUGCAUGGGUUGUCGUCAACUCGUGUCGUGAGAUGUUGGGUUAAGUCCCGCAACG